Molecule: long non-coding RNA, 349 nt
Filed under: Cicer arietinum (chickpea)
Lineage: Eukaryota; Viridiplantae; Streptophyta; Magnoliopsida; Fabales; Fabaceae
Description: long non-coding RNA (CARI_LNC002662)
Source: RNAcentral
ACACACAUAGACUCAUCGGAGGCAUGCUAAUUAGAAGCACACGAUAGUCAUUAGAGGCGUACACAUAAACACGUUAUUAUAGGUUGAUGUGUGUACUAUUCCAUAACAUGCAUUUAUCCGAUUUUGAGGAUUUCGUUGAUUGAUUUGAUUUCGUUUCCUCUGACCUCUUUACUUCCUCUAGUGACUUCAUUUGAUGAUAUUCUCUGGUGACUUCCUCUAGUGACUUCAUUUGAUGAUAUUCUCUGGUGACUUCAUCUGGUGGUAUCCUUUGGUCGUAACCUCUGAUUUUCCUGUUCUAAUUUAUGCAUAUUUCUUGAAAUCAUUAGUGCAAUAAAUUAUUCUUACAAAG